UACGUAGGGGGCAAGCGUUGUCCGGAUUCAUUGGGCGUAAAGAGCGUGUAGGCGGCCAGGUAGGUCGGUUGUGAAAACUGGAGGCUCAACCUUCAGAGGUCGACCGAAACCAUCUGGCUAGAGUCCGGGAGAGGAGAGUGGAAUUCCUGGUGUAGCGGUGAAAUGCGCAGAUAUCAGGAAGAACACCUAUAGCGAAGGCAGCUUGCUGGGACGUUACUGACGCUAAGGCGCGAAAGCGUGGGGAGCGAACAGG
Molecule: ribosomal RNA, 253 nt
Filed under: uncultured bacterium
Lineage: Bacteria
Description: partial 16S ribosomal RNA
Rfam family: Bacterial small subunit ribosomal RNA
Source: RNAcentral